AGUGAGGAAUAUUGGACAAUGGGCGCAAGCCUGAUCCAGCCAUGCCGCGUGCAGGAAGACGGUCUAUGGAUUGUAAACUGCUUUUAUACAGGAAGAACACCUCUACGUGUAGAGGCUUGACGGUACUGUAGAAUAAGGAUCGGCUAACUCCGUGCCAGCAGCCGCGGUAAUACGGAGGAUCCAAGCGUUAUCCGGAAUCAUUGGGUUUAAAGGGUCCGUAGGCGGCCUUAUAAGUCAGUGGUGAAAUCUCCUAGCACUAGGAACUGCCAUUGAUACUGUAGGGCUUGAAUUAUUAGGAAGUAACUAGAAUAUGUAGUGUAGCGGUGAAAUGCUUAGAUAUUACAUGGAAUACCAAUUGCGAAGGCAGGUUACUACUAAUUGAUUGACGCUGAUGGACGAAAGCGUGGGUAGCGAACAGGAUUAGAUACCCUGGUAGUCCACGCCGUAAACGAUGGAUACUAGCUGUUCGGAGCAAUCUGAGUGGCUAAGCGAAAGUGAUAAGUUUCCCACUGGGGAGUA
This 519-nucleotide ribosomal RNA is filed under the name uncultured bacterium. Its description in RNAcentral is "bacterial SSU rRNA". It matches the Rfam family "Bacterial small subunit ribosomal RNA", at positions 353 to 882 of the family's 1533-position model. The record is from RNAcentral.